RNAcentral lists this small RNA (683 nucleotides) under Pongo abelii (Sumatran orangutan). RNAcentral's name for it is "processed transcript". The record is from RNAcentral. Lineage: Eukaryota; Metazoa; Chordata; Mammalia; Primates; Hominidae.
AUUUAUGGAAUGUAAGGGCUCUGCUCUGAGCUUGUCUUCAUAGGUCUGUGAAGAAGUUGCUCCCAGGACCCUUUGUGGGAAGAAAGAAGUUAGGAUGAAAGGCCUAUUGAAAAGCCAUUGCUGCUCUCACCUCCCUGGGAGCACACAUUAGGUCUUGUCCCAACAGGGAAGCUCUAGGACCUCUACAGGCUGACAAAGCCAUAUAUUCACAAACACUGAGUGAUAUGGAGAAUAUAGACCGAGAAACUCUUUGCCCUAAAAUAUCCAGGAAGUCAUGUUCAUGGCAUACUCUACGCAUGAGAAAGCGGGCGGAAGUGGAGAACACGGGUAAAAAUGAAGCCACAGGGCCUCGUAAACCCAAGGAUAUUCUGGGCAACAAAGUCUCUGUUAAAGAGACGAACAGUUCCGAGGAAUCAGAGUGUGAUGAUCUUGACCCUAAUACUAGCAUGGAGGUAGAAGCAGCUAUUGUUGUCCUAUUUCCUACAAUGAUUGCCUUUUUUGAUGUGUUCUGUAACAGUGACCUUGCUAAAAUGACCAGCCGUUCAAAGAUAAAUUGUGAUGUUGGGGCAUCUCUGGGUAUCCCAUCCCAGCUAUAAAAGAAACAAACAGAAACAUAAUUCAGUUCAGUGUUGGUAGAAAACUCUACCUAGAUUUUUUUAAAAACAAAAACUUGUUCUCUUGAA